This 288-nucleotide ribosomal RNA is filed under the name Triticum aestivum (bread wheat). Its description in RNAcentral is "partial small subunit ribosomal RNA". Lineage: Eukaryota; Viridiplantae; Streptophyta; Magnoliopsida; Poales; Poaceae. The record is from RNAcentral.
AUGAGACGACUCUUUCUUGAACAAUUUCAUAAGCAGAUCUUCCCCUCCACACCAAUCACGAGUUCGAUUCGGAUCCCUCUGUUGUUUCCCUUUCCUCCCGAACCUUUUCCUCGAAAUGAUAAAGAAUCUGGUACACUCGAAUUGUAUUAUUUAAGUGCUUAUUGCUUGCCAAAAAUCCUACUUCUACAAUUGGUAGGUCACCGGGUUAUUCAAAUAAGUCGUGUUUUCUGUGCUUUUCCCAUGUUACAACUUCCGUACCAAUUCGAUCGAUCCGGAAUGGAUCGGUUA